ACGAGUUAGGCGGCGUGCUUAACACAUGCAAGUCGAGCGAGAAAGGGAGCUUCGGCUCCUGAGUACAGCGGCGAACGGGUGCGUAAUACAUGAGUAAUCUACCCUUGAGGCGGGAAUAACCCAGCGAAAGUUGGGCUAAUACCGGAUAAGACCACAAGAGGAAACUCUAGGGGUCAAAGGCAGCUUUCUUUUGGGGGCGGUCCUUUGAGGAGGAGCUCAUGGCCUAUCAGCUAGUUGGUAGGGUAACGGCCUACCAAGGCGAAGACGGGUAGCUGGUCUUAGAGGAUGAUCAGCCACACGGGGACUGAGACACGGCCCCGACUCCUACGGGAGGCAGCAGUGGGGAAUAUUGGGCAAUGGGGGAAACCCUGACCCAGCGACGCCGCGUGGGUGAUGAAGGCCUUCGGGUCGUAAAGCCCUGUCGGGAGGAAAGAACGCUCUGGUGGUGAAUACCCGCCAGAGGUGACGGUACCUCCGAAGGAAGCACCGGCCAAUUCCGUGCCAGCAGCCGCGGUAAGACGGAAGGUGCAAGCGUUGCUCGGAAUCACUGGGCGUAAAGGGUGCGUAGGCGGCUUCUUAAGUCUGGUGUGAAAGCCCAGGGCUCAGCUCUGGAAGUGCACUAGAAACUGGGGAGCUUGAGUACCGGAGGGGAGAGUGGAAUUCCUGGUGUAGCGGUGAAAUGCGUAGAUAUCAGGAGGAAUACCGGUGGCGAAAGCGACUCUCUGGACGGUUACUGACGCUGAGGCACGAAAGCGUGGGGAGCAAACAGGAUUAGAUACCCUGGUAGUCCACGCCGUAAACGAUGGGCACUAGGUGUCGGGGGUAUCCACUCCCUCGGUGCCGCCGCUAACGCAUUAAGUGUCCCGCCUGGGAAGUACGGUCGCAAGAUUAAAACUCAAAGGAAUUGACGGGGACCCGCACAAGCAGCGGAGCGUGUGGUUUAAUUCGAUGCAACGCGAGCAACCUUACCAGGGUUUGACAUGCAUGUGACACUUCUGGAAACAGGAUUUCCUUCGGGACACAUGCACAGGUGCUGCAUGGCUGUCGUCAGCUCGUGCCGUGAGGUGUUGGGUUAAGUCCCGCAACGAGCGCAACCCCUAUCGCUAGUUGAACUUCUCUAGCGAGACUGCCUCGAUCAACGGGGAGGAAGGUGGGGACGACGUCAAGUCAGCACGGCCCUUACAUCCUGGGCGACACACACGCUACAAUGGCCGAGACAACGAGUCGCCAACCCGCGAGGGGGAGCCAAUCUCAGCAAACUCGGUCUCAGUUCAGAUUGGAAGCUGCAACCCGCCUCCAUGAAGCAGGAGUUGCUAGUAACCGUGGGUCAGCACACCACGGUGAUAUCAGAUCCCGGUGUUGUACACACC
RNAcentral lists this ribosomal RNA (1370 nucleotides) under uncultured bacterium. RNAcentral describes it as "partial 16S ribosomal RNA". It matches the Rfam family "Bacterial small subunit ribosomal RNA", at positions 33 to 1391 of the family's 1533-position model. The record is from RNAcentral.